AUGUGUCUUGGCUAAUGUGUCUUGGCUAAUGUGUCUUGGCUAAGGUGUCUUGGCUAAUGUGUCUUGGCUAAGGUGUCUUGGCUAAUGUGUCUCGGCUAAUGUGUCUUGGCUAAGGUGUCUUGGCUAAGGUGUCUUGGCUAAUGUGUCUUGGCUAAUGUGUCUUGGCUAAUGUGUCUUGGCUAAUGUGUCUUGGCUAAGGUGUCUUGGCUAAGGUGUCUUGGCUAAGGUGUCUUGGCUUAUGUGUCUUGGCUAAGGUGUCUUGGCUAAUGUGUCUUGGCUAAUGUGUCUUGGCUAAGGUGUCUUGGCUAAGGUGUCUUGGUUAAUGUGUCUCGGCUAAGGUGUCUUGGCUAAUGUGUCUUGGCUAAGGUGUCUUGGCUAAUGUGUCUUGGCUAAGGUGUCUUGGCUAAGGUGUCUUGGCCAAGGUGUCUUGGCUUAUGUGUCUCGGCUAAGGUGUCUUGGCUAAUGUGUCUUGGCUAAGGUGUCUUGGCUAAGGUGUCUUGGCUAAUGUGUCUUGGCUAAGGUGUCUUGGCUAAGGUGUCUUGGCUAAGGUGUCUUGGCUAAUGUGUCUCGGCUAUGGUGUCUUGGCUAAGGUGUCUUGGCUAAGGUGUCUUGGCUAAGGUGUCUUGGCUAAUGUGUCUUGGCUAAGGUGUCUUGGCUAAGGUGUCUUGGCUAACGUGUCUUGGCUAAGGUGUCUUGGCUAAGGUGUCUUGGCUAAGGUGUCUUGGCUAAGGUGUCUUGGCUAAUGUGUCUCGGCUAAGGUGUCUUGGCUAAGGUGUCUUGGCUAAUGUGUCUUGGCUAAGGUGUCUUGGCUAAUGUGUCUUGGCUAAUGUGUCUUGGCUAAGGUGUCUUGGCUAAGGUGUCUUGGCUAAGGUGUCUUGGCUAAGGUGUCUUGGCUAAUGUGUCUCGGCUAAGGUGUCUUGGCUAAUGUGUCUUGGCUAAGGUGUCUUGGCUAAUGUGUCUUGGCUAAUGUGUCUUGGCUAAGGUGUCUUGGCUAAGGUGUCUUGGCAAAGGUGUCUUGGCUUAUGUGUCUCGGCUAAUGUGUCUUGGCUAAGGUGUCUUGGCUAAUGUGUCUUGGCUAAGGUGUCUUGGCUAAGGUGUCUUGGCUAAGGUGUCUUGGCUAAGGUGUCUUGGCUAAUGUGUCUCGGCUAAGGUGUCUUGGCUAAUGUGUCUUGGCUAAGGUGUCUUGGCUAAUGUGUCUUGGCUAAUGUGUCUUGGCUAAGGUGUCUUGGCUAAUGUGUCUCGGCUAAUGUGUCUUGGCUAAGGUGUCUUGGCUAAGGUGUCUUGGCUAAGGUGUCUAGGCUAAUGUGUCUUGGCUAAUGUGUCUUGGUUAAUGUGUCUUGGCUAAGGUGUCUUGGCUAAGGUGUCUCGGCUAAUGUGUCUUGGCUAAUGUGUCUUGGCUAAGGUGUCUUGGCUAAGGUGUCGUGGCUAAUGUGUCUUGGCUAAUGUGUCUUGGCUAAGGUGUCUUGGCUAAGGUGUCUUGGCUAAGGUGUGUUGGUUAAGGUGUCUAGGCUAAGGUGUCUUUGCUAAUGUGUCUUGGCUAAUGUGUCUUGGCUAAGGUGUCUUGGCUAAGGUGUCUUGGCUAAAGUGUCUCGGCUAAGGUGUCUUGGCUUAGGUGUCUUGGCUAAGGUGUCUCGGCUAAUGUGUCUUGGCUAAUGUGUCUUGGCUAAUGUGUCUUUGCUAAGGUGUCUUGGCUAAGGUGUCUUGGCUAAUGUGUCUUGGCU
Long non-coding RNA from Anopheles funestus (African malaria mosquito), 1721 nucleotides. RefSeq lists it as uncharacterized. The transcript has 3 exons. The record is from RefSeq and is a predicted model, not a curated record. NCBI's taxonomy places the organism in Eukaryota, Metazoa, Arthropoda, Insecta, Diptera, Culicidae.